AAUCAAUUCAUAUUUCAUUUUUGCUUAUCCACUUUGGACUUUGCUUUUUGUGGCCUUUUAGAGGGAAAUGCAGAAAGGAUUUUCCCAUGCACUAGUGAAGAAAGAAGCAUAUUCUCAACUCAACUACCCAACAAAAGGGAUAAGAGACUGUCCGUUGAGACUUGAGAAGGUUCUUUCUAUUGUAUUUUUCCUACCCUGAAUUUUUUUAUGAUUACCACUUUACCUUUGCCUCUUUGAAGAGCCAAAGCCUGGAGAGGACAAAUGCCAUUUAACUUAACCCAUGCCUUACAUGAUAGGUCACAAAAUUCCUAGAGGCCAUUAUACAAUGAGACUUUAGGCACAAUAGAAAAAUCAAUUAACCAAUAUCACACACACAUUGACAUUCUUCUCUUAAGGGGAUAAAAAAAACUAUGACAUUAACUUUAUCGCAGGCAAUAGUGGAAGAGUACAAUGCAUGCAGGUAACACAUCAAAAUGAUUAAAAAUGCAUGUUAAUGAGUAAUGCUACAUAUUUUUGUACCAUGCGGCCUCUUCUAAUGACAUUGGAGCAAUUAUUGGCUAAAUGUACACACAAUGCAAAUACAAGUUUGUUAACUAAUUAUAACCCCUUUAAAUUUAUUUUACAUACUACUACUAGGUAUGUCUCCAUUUGAGAUGCAAGACAUCUUACUGCCUUCCGGCACAAAUGGUGUUAAAGACCUACUCAUUUCUACUUCUCAUAGUAGUAGCCUAGCUCUCUUUGCUUCUCUAGGAAAGAAAUUAUCAGUGCUCAGGUAUGGUUGCAUUAAGUACUAAUUCAUCUUGUCUGACGUAGUAAAAAUUUGGUCAUUGAUGUAUUUCCUUUUGUUACAGCUUGGACAGCAGCAACCUUGUUGUCAAUUAUGACCUACAGGUUCCUGCAUGGUUUUGUUCAUGGGAUCUCAACAAUUCACAUUACAUAUAUGUUGGACUACAGGUCAGCACUUUGGUUUUGUAUUUAUUUGAUGUGGGAACUUCAAAUGCUAAUCUUCAUAUAACUUCCUCGCAGAAUGGUUCUGUCUUGGUGUUUGAUAUGCACCAAACUGCUUCUGGCUUGAGAUUCUCUACCUUCAUAUAACUUCAAAUUUCAGAAUGUGCCAAAAUUUUGUCUCAAGGGUACAAGUGCCAUGCAACAUUAUGUGGCAACACGUCCAAUGUUCAUUGAUGUGGAAAUAAUGAAUGCAGACACUAAGCUGGUUCUUGGUGACUAGGCUGUCCAAGCUAGUCCUAGUAAUGUUGCUCGUGGGCUUUCCUCCUUGUACAAAGAAAUCAUAGAUACUGUUCGUAAAGAAGCUACAACAAUCACGACCGUAUUCCCUUCACCAAGUGAAGUUAUGUCAAUUUUAGUUCAAGUACAAGACAACAUGGUCUUCACUAAAUAUUGUGGCUUUGAAUAGGUUGUAUAUUUUAUUGUGUUCACAAAAACCAAUGUUCUCAUAAUUCUGCAUACAGAGAGUUUUAGAGUAGUGAAUCACUGCCCUUUUGGACAAACUGUUAGAGAAACCAUCUCUUGUCAAUUUACCUUCCGUGGAGGAAGGUGGGCUCCUAUUAAUGAGUAGGAUUAACCAAUUUCCUUCAUUAUUAUCAUCCAAGUGCCAGUUUUGACAGCAGGCUGAUGCCAAUGUACUUUGUAUUUGAUUUGAGGUUUCAGUAUCUUCGAAUGCUGGCAGUGGCAUAUGAAAAGACCCAAGAGCUAGCAAGAGAUCUACAAGUUGUAGGAUGUGGUGACUUGGAUGUUGAUAGUGUAAUGUAAGUGGUAGUCUAAGUGCUCUAGUCUUGCUUCAUGGCAACUUUCAAGCAGGACAUUUGACUCUAUUAAUUUUAUGUACCUUACCC
Glycine soja is the source of this 1853-nucleotide long non-coding RNA. RefSeq lists it as uncharacterized. NCBI's taxonomy places the organism in Eukaryota, Viridiplantae, Streptophyta, Magnoliopsida, Fabales, Fabaceae. The record is from RefSeq and is a predicted model, not a curated record. The transcript is spliced from 4 exons.